AUUGAACGCUGGCGGAAUGCUUUACACAUGCAAGUCGAACGGUAGAGGGGGCAACCCCUUGAGAGUGGCGAACGGGUGAGUAAUAUAUCGGAACGUGCCCAGUCGUGGGGAUAACGUAGCGAAAGUUACGCUAAUACCGCAUACGAUCUAAGGAUGAAAGCGGGGGAUCGCAAGACCUCGCGCGAUUGGAGCGGCCGAUAUCAGAUUAGGUAGUUGGUGGGGGUAAAGGCUCACCAAGCCAACGAUCUGUAGCUGGUCUGAGAGGACGACCAGCCACACUGGAACUGAGACACGGUCCAGACUCCUACGGGAGGCAGCAGUGGGGGAAUUUUGGGACAAUGGACGCAAGUCUGAUCCAGCCAUUCCGCGUGCAGGAUGAAGGCCCUCGGGUUGUAAACUGCUUUUGUACGGAACGAAAAGGUUUGUCUUAAUACGAUGAGCUCAUGACGGUACCGUAAGAAUAAGCACCGGCUAACUACGUGCCAGCAGCCGC
Molecule: ribosomal RNA, 493 nt
Filed under: uncultured bacterium
Lineage: Bacteria
Description: bacterial SSU rRNA
Rfam family: Bacterial small subunit ribosomal RNA
Source: RNAcentral